AACGAACGCUGGCGGCAUGCCUAAUACAUGCAAGUCGAACGAGAUCUUCGGACCUAGUGGCGCACGGGUGCGUAACGCGUGGGAAUCUGCCCUUGGGUUCGGAAUAACUUCUGGAAACGGAAGCUAAUACCGGAUGAUGACGUAAGUCCAAAGAUUUAUCGCCCAAGGAUGAGCCCGCGUAGGAUUAGGUAGUUGGUAAGGUAAAGGCUCACCAAGCCGACGAUCCUUAGCUGGUCUGAGAGGAUGAGCAGCCACACUGGGGCUGAGACACGGCCCAGACUCCUACGGGAGGCAGCAGUAGGUAAUAUUGGACAGUGGGCGGAAGCCUGAUCCAGCAAUGCCGCGUGAGUGAUGAAGGUCGUAGGGUUGUAAAGCUCUUUUACCCGGGAUGAUAAUGACGGUACCGGGAGAAUAAGCUCCGGCUAACUCCGUG
This 433-nucleotide ribosomal RNA is filed under the name uncultured bacterium. RNAcentral describes it as "partial 16S ribosomal RNA". It matches the Rfam family "Bacterial small subunit ribosomal RNA", at positions 29 to 507 of the family's 1533-position model. The record is from RNAcentral.